RNAcentral lists this transfer RNA (69 nucleotides) under Paedocypris micromegethes. RNAcentral describes it as "tRNA-Ser". The record is from RNAcentral. Lineage: Eukaryota; Metazoa; Chordata; Actinopteri; Cypriniformes.
AAGAAAAGCUCGUAAGCACUAAGUACUGCUAAUACUUAUCACCCAUAGUUAAACUCUAUGGUUUUCUUA